RNAcentral lists this ribosomal RNA (468 nucleotides) under uncultured bacterium. RNAcentral's name for it is "partial 16S ribosomal RNA". It matches the Rfam family "Bacterial small subunit ribosomal RNA", at positions 28 to 507 of the family's 1533-position model. The record is from RNAcentral.
GACGAACGCUGGCGGCGUGCUUAACACAUGCAAGUCGAACGGAAAGGCCCUGCUUUCGUGCGGUGAUCGAGUGGCGAACGGGUACGUGACACGUGUGUAACCUACUCUUGUCUUUGGGGUAACUUCAGGAAACUGAGGCUACUCCCGUAUAGGAGCCGCUGCUGCGUGGAGGGCGUUGGAACGUUUCGGCGGUUGGGGAUGGACUCGCGGCUUAUCAGCUAGUUAGUGGGGUAGUGGCUUACCCAGGAUUUGACGGAUAGGCGGCAUGAGAGGGUGAACGGGCACAUGGGGACUGAGAGACGGCCCAGUGGCGUACGUGAGGCAGCAGGCGCGAAUAUGGCACAACGGGAGGGAGCCUGAGGCAGCAGCGCCGCGGUCGGGAUGACGGUUUGCGGGUUGUGAACCGCUGUAGGUUGUGACGACGCUGGAGUGACGGUAAUGGGUAAAGAAGCACCGGCUAACUACGUG